UUCAGGUGGCAUGUGCCUGUAGUCUCAGCUAUUAGGGAGGCUGAGGUGGGUGAAUCAUUUGAGCCUAGGAGUUCUGGGCUGUAGUGCACUAUGCCAAUCGGUGUCUGCACUAAGUUUGGCAUCAAUAUGGUGACCUCCUGGGAGUGGGGGACCACCAGGUUGCCUAAGGAGGGGUGAACCAUCCCAGGUCAGAAAGAGAGGAGGUCAAAACUCCCGUGCUGAUCAGUGUGGAAUCUCGCCUGUGAAUAGCCACUGCACUCCAGCCCGGGCAGCAUAGCAAAACCCCGUCUCU
This 292-nucleotide signal recognition particle RNA is filed under the name Cebus imitator (Panamanian white-faced capuchin). RNAcentral's name for it is "Metazoan signal recognition particle RNA (ENSCCAG00000008010.1)". It matches the Rfam family "Metazoan signal recognition particle RNA". From Rfam's summary of the family: The signal recognition particle (SRP) is a universally conserved ribonucleoprotein. Lineage: Eukaryota; Metazoa; Chordata; Mammalia; Primates; Cebidae. The record is from RNAcentral.